GGAGGAGUGGCCGAGUGGCUGAAGGCACCGGUCUUGAAAACCGGAAAUGGGUGACCGUUCCAGAGUUCGAAUCUCUGCUCCUCCAUCA
This 88-nucleotide transfer RNA is filed under the name Candidatus Erwinia haradaeae. RNAcentral describes it as "transfer RNA Serine". It matches the Rfam family "tRNA". From Rfam's summary of the family: Transfer RNA (tRNA) molecules are approximately 80 nucleotides in length. Their secondary structure includes four short double-helical elements and three loops (D, anti-codon, and T loops). The record is from RNAcentral. Lineage: Bacteria; Pseudomonadati; Pseudomonadota; Gammaproteobacteria; Enterobacterales; Erwiniaceae.